GACGAACGCUGGCGGCGUGCCUAAUACAUGCGAGUUGAGCGAUGAAGAUUGGUGCUUGCACCAAUUUGAAGAGCAGCGAACGGGUGAGUAACGCGUGGGGAAUCUGCCUUUGAGCGGGGGACAACAUUUGGAAACGAAUGCUAAUACCGCAUAACAACUUUAAACAUAAGUUUUAAGUUUGAAAGAUGCAAUUGCCUCACUCAAAGAUGAUCCCGCGUUGUAUUAGCUAGUUGGUGAGGUAAAGGCUCACCAAGGCGAUGAUACAUAGCCGACCUGAGAGGGUGAUCGGCCACAUUGGGACUGAGACACGGCCCAAACUCCUACGGGAGGCAGCAGGAGGGAAUCUUCGGCAAUGGACGAAAGUCUGACCGAGCAACGCCGCGUGAGUGAAGAAGGUUGUCGGAUCGUAAAACUCUGUUGGUAGAGAAGAACGUUGGUGAGAGUGGAAAGCUCAUCAAGUGACGGUAACUACCCAGAAAGGGACGGCUAACUACGUG
RNAcentral lists this ribosomal RNA (497 nucleotides) under uncultured bacterium. RNAcentral's name for it is "partial 16S ribosomal RNA". It matches the Rfam family "Bacterial small subunit ribosomal RNA", at positions 28 to 507 of the family's 1533-position model. The record is from RNAcentral.